CGGCGUGCCUAAUACAUGCAAGUCGAGCGAACAGAUAAGGAGCUUGCUCCUUUGACGUUAGCGGCGGACGGGUGAGUAACACGUGGGUAACCUACCUAUAAGACUGGGAUAACUUCGGGAAACCGGAGCUAAUACCGGAUAACAUUUGGAACCGCAUGGUUCUAAAGUGAAAGAUGGUUUUGCUAUCACUUAUAGAUGGACCCGCGCCGUAUUAGCUAGUUGGUAAGGUAACGGCUUACCAAGGCGACGAUACGUAGCCGACCUGAGAGGGUGAUCGGCCACACUGGAACUGAGACACGGUCCAGACUCCUACGGGAGGCAGCAGUAGGGAAUCUUCCGCAAUGGGCGAAAGCCUGACGGAGCAACGCCGCGUGAGUGAUGAAGGGUUUCGGCUCGUAAAACUCUGUUAUUAGGGAAGAACAAACGUGUAAGUAACUGUGCACGUCUUGACGGUACCUAAUCAGAAAGCCACGGCUAACUACGUGCCAGCAGCCGCGGUAAUACGUAGGUGGCAAGCGUUAUCCGGAAUUAUUGGGCGUAAAGCGCGCGUAGGCGGUUUCUUAAGUCUGAUGUGAAAGCCCACGGCUCAACCGUGGAGGGUCAUUGGAAACUGGGAAACUUGAGUGCAGAAGAGGAAAGUGGAAUUCCAUGUGUAGCGGUGAAAUGCGCAGAGAUAUGGAGGAACACCAGUGGCGAAGGCGACUUUCUGGUCUGUAACUGACGCUGAUGUGCGAAAGCGUGGGGAUCAAACAGGAUUAGAUACCCUGGUAGUCCACGCCGUAAACGAUGAGUGCUAAGUGUUAGGGGGUUUCCGCCCCUUAGUGCUGCAGCUAACGCA
This 838-nucleotide ribosomal RNA is filed under the name bacterium. RNAcentral describes it as "bacterial SSU rRNA". It matches the Rfam family "Bacterial small subunit ribosomal RNA", at positions 40 to 859 of the family's 1533-position model. The record is from RNAcentral.